GACGAACGCUGGCGGCACGCCUAACACAUGCAAGUCGAACGGAGUUUUAGAUGCUUGCAUCUGAAACUUAGUGGCGGACGGGUGAGUAACACGUGAGCAACCUGCCUUCCAGAGGGGGAUAACGUUUGGAAACGAACGCUAAUACCGCAUAACAUAUAUUUAUCACAUGGUAGAUAUAUCAAAGGAGCAAUCCGCUGGGAGAUGGGCUCGCGUCCGAUUAGAUAGUUGGCGGGGUAACGGCCCACCAAGUCAACGAUCGGUAGCCGGACUGAGAGGUUGAACGGCCACAUUGGGACUGAGACACGGCCCAG
This 311-nucleotide ribosomal RNA is filed under the name uncultured bacterium. RNAcentral's name for it is "bacterial SSU rRNA". It matches the Rfam family "Bacterial small subunit ribosomal RNA", at positions 28 to 334 of the family's 1533-position model. The record is from RNAcentral.